This 253-nucleotide ribosomal RNA is filed under the name uncultured bacterium. Its description in RNAcentral is "partial 16S ribosomal RNA". It matches the Rfam family "Bacterial small subunit ribosomal RNA", at positions 524 to 776 of the family's 1533-position model. The record is from RNAcentral.
UACGGAGGGGGCUAGCGUUGUUCGGAAUUACUGGGCGUAAAGCGCACGUAGGCGGUUAUUCAAGUCAGAGGUGAAAGCCUGGAGCUCAACUCCAGAACUGCCUUUGAAACUAGAUAACUAGAAUCACGGAGAGGUUAGUGGAAUUCCGAGUGUAGAGGUGAAAUUCGUAGAUAUUCGGAAGAACACCAGUGGCGAAGGCGACUGACUGGACAUGUAUUGACGCUGAGGUGCGAAAGCGUGGGGAGCAAACAGG